CGUCCAUUACGUGAUCUCAGUGUCAGAGAAGAAUACAUUUCUCGGUGUUGUCAUGUUGAUGAGAACGCAAAGGCUGGGACGACGGUGCAGAUUUUGUAAAGCAUAGAACGUUUGGAAGACGAAAAAGACCUGUACGACGCGACAGUUGAAUCUUGCGCUGCAUUCGACGUAACCGCAUCUCCAAUGUUUUCGUACGAGAUUGACGAUAUCCCUGUACCUUGUACCGGAAGCCACGCUGCUUGAGAGCUCAUCUUGUUUAUUGCCGACCACUAAAAGAGGUGCGAACUGACGGGAAAGAACGGAAUCGUAGGUAGAUCUGUGAUUUUCAAUUCGUACAAUCGAUCGGCCAGUACGACGCUCGGGUAGAACGUCUCACGUUUUUCAGUUGGCCUGUAUUCCUCGGAGAAUUCGCUCCAAACGAAUUGCUGAAGCGAAUGAAGAAAAUAUCUCUUAGCUAACAUAUGGUUUCAUCUAAUAGAUGGAAGAACAAAUAAAAUAUACAAAUAAAAGGAAAGCUUUUUGGCGCGUUAA
This 531-nucleotide long non-coding RNA is filed under the name Polistes fuscatus (common paper wasp). RNAcentral's name for it is "uncharacterized LOC122520268". Lineage: Eukaryota; Metazoa; Arthropoda; Insecta; Hymenoptera; Vespidae. The record is from RNAcentral.